AGUUGGUAGAGCAGUUGACUUUUAAUCAAUUGGUCGCAGGUUCGAAUCCUGCACGACCCACCAAUCGUUCGGUGGAAACGAGAAUAAAGCGUGAAGGAUAACGUUGCGUCAGCAACGGCCCGUAGGGCGAGGCGAAGCCGAGUCAUCCUGCACGACCCACCG
This 162-nucleotide small RNA is filed under the name Salmonella enterica subsp. enterica serovar Kentucky. Its description in RNAcentral is "partial RtT sRNA". It matches the Rfam family "RtT RNA". Rfam says of the family: This family represents a bacterial cis-regulatory element known as RtT RNA. The exact function of RtT is unknown although it is thought that it may be involved in changing the cellular response in relation to amino acid starvation. Lineage: Bacteria; Pseudomonadati; Pseudomonadota; Gammaproteobacteria; Enterobacterales; Enterobacteriaceae. The record is from RNAcentral.